This is a long non-coding RNA of Herpailurus yagouaroundi (jaguarundi), 1591 nucleotides long. RefSeq lists it as uncharacterized. NCBI's taxonomy places the organism in Eukaryota, Metazoa, Chordata, Mammalia, Carnivora, Felidae. The transcript is spliced from 12 exons. The record is from RefSeq and is a predicted model, not a curated record.
GGUGGCCACCUCAUGGUGCUCUAGAGCUGCACUGUCUGAUAAAGUAGCCACUAGCCACUGUGGUUUUUCAAAUUUAAAGUAAUUAAAUAUAGAUAAAACUUAAAACUCAGUUCCUCAGUCUAACUAUUUCACAUACUCUAUGGGCAUACGGGGCUAGUGGCUGCCAUAUUGAAUAGUAUCAAGUAGCUCCACGCAGAAGAUCAUAGAAGAGCAGAAGGUCAUCCCAGUCAUUGGAGAAAGUCCUCGUGGACAGAAAGUAUUAUAUGUCCUACAGCUGAUGAUUUUGGGUAAGGAGUGCUGCUAGGUUGGUCUCAAUGGAAGAAAGCCCUAUCUGUUCUGACUCUGUCACCAAUCUGGCUGUGGAUUGGGGAAGAAAGCAUCUGGAAGUCACCUUGAAUCCAUAAGGGGAGUCAAUCUUAAGAUAAAGCUGAGAAAGACCGAAGAGAGGAGCUGCCCAUUCUGAGAGGAAAUCAUGUAAAUGAAACAGGAACUUUGGCAUAAAGAACGAUAGCUCCACGAGGACUGGGAUCUUUGUGGUUUUGCUAUAUUCACCCCACAGCGAAUCCAGUGUGUGUGGCGGUGUGAUUCCUUUCUGCCACGCUAACUCACUCUGCAGCAGUUUCCGUGGGUGAGGAAUCCAGCCCAACCUGACUGAAUGCCUCUCUUCAGAGUCUCUCCCAAGGCUGCAAUCAAGGGGUCAGCCAGGAUGGCAGCCUUCUCAAGCCUCAAUGAGGGGAGGAUCCAAUUCUAAGGAUGAAAUGGAUUCUAGAGAUGGCUGAUUGUAAUGGCUACACAACAAAAUGAAUGCACUUAGGUCUUGAAAACUCCAGAACAUCACAGGCAACCUGCCCAAGUUUCCUGAGGGAGAAGCCAGACCGGGAGAGACUUUGUCGUCAUGAUUCCUACAAGGACCAACAAUUGAGAACCUGGCAGUAUUUGCACAUAUUGUAGGAACGAAAAAGAAAGGAGCAAAUGGACACAAUCACCUCCAAAAAGUGAUAACAUUCAAUAAUAAGAUGACACUGGCUGACAUUCAGAAGACAUUGGAUAUCUUCUCUUCUAGGGCUUGGAAUUUUUCUACCCAGCUAAGAAGGCAACAACCCCAAGAUCCCUCCAUGGAAAUGGCGCUGAGUGUAUGAUCCUGCAGACAUAUUGCCACCAAGGGAAUACCUGCCUGAGAAGGACCAGAAGGAGAAAGUGGAGCCCAAUACAGAAGGAGUGGGGACCUAACGAUAUACUUUCAGGUGUCUCUCAGGGUCUCAGGUUUCCUAAUUGAAAUGUGCCGAAGCAAUUGAAAUGUGGUACCUCAGUGAAUUACUGUCAGACACCGUAACCUUUCGACCAGCUAGAAUCUUGUCGUGAGAGGAGACCGUGUACGUUGGUGAAAGUUUAGAAAAAAGAAUCCCCCUUAUUCAAUCAACUAACAAAGACCCAUGGAGUACCCCAGUGGGGGCCCCAAAGAAGACGCAAAGAAGAAAAACACAAUCUUUGCCCUGAAGGAGUCGUCAUCUUUUGAGGAAACAAAACAUCAUGUCAUAGUUAUACUGUAGUGAGCUCAAGCUCUCAAACCCAAUAAAAUAUGGGAUAUUCA